RNAcentral lists this long non-coding RNA (3990 nucleotides) under Sus scrofa (pig). RNAcentral's name for it is "lncRNA (ENSSSCG00035033441.1)". Lineage: Eukaryota; Metazoa; Chordata; Mammalia; Artiodactyla; Suidae. The record is from RNAcentral.
UUUUUUUUUUGGUUCUUUCUGGGGCCGCACCUGCAGCAUAUGGAGGUUCCCAGGCCAGGGGUCCAAUUGGAGCUAUAGUUGCCGGUCUACACCACAGCCAUAGCAACACCAGAUCCGAGCCGCAUCUGUGACCUACACCACAGCUCAGGGCAACACCAGAUCCUUAACCCACUGAGCAAGGCCAAGGAUCGAACCUGUGUCCUCUUGGAUGCUAGUCAGAUUUGUUAACCGCCGAGCCAUGACGGGAAGUCCCGAAUUGGCGUUUCAGUACAGAUGACAGGUCACGGCCGGGCCAGACCCCUGAGGGCCCGAUUCCCAGCCUCACUGCUGAGCAUGGCUCCCUCGCGAUCUCAGAGUCUGAUUAUACUCGAAAACUUCAAGGGAGAUGGCAGUGCCCGGGGCUGGGAAGGCUGGGGCGGGGGAGGGGGGACGGUGGCGGAGGUGGUUCACGCAUGACCUGUGUAGUCCUGGGCAGCGGAUGCUCGGAAUGACACAUGGACAUCAACCCCCAAGUCUCAGAACAAGACGGAACCACCACGAGAUCCCCAGGCCGCCAGGCCCUCCACAGCCCCCAUCACGGAACCAUCAGAGCCUCCCCGCCCCCAGCAGACGUGCCAGACAAGCCCUCUUCCGAGCGCUUUGCAAGACCUGAAUCAUUGCAUCGUCACAACCCCCUGUGACUGCAGUUCCCAACUAUACUGCACCCGGGAAACCCCAACACCCAGGCCACACCCCCCACUAAUCAUGAUACCUGGGGGUGGGGGCAGGCACUGAUCUUUCUUAAAGACCCUCAGGCAAUCCCAAUGCCCAGCCAAGCCUGGAACAUUCAGCUAAGACAUGGUGCCAUGACCGUCCACAUUUUUCAGAUAAGACAACAGAGGCAGAGAGGUCAAUGCCUCCCCAAGGUCACGCGGCUGGCAAGCAGCAGAGCUGGGACCCGAACCCAGUGGGAUGACCGCCAAACACUAAGAAAUCACAUCCGGGAAAGGUACCGUAGAAAGAGCAUAAAUCACUAGCAUGGGAUGAAGUGAAGCAGGUGGGGAGAGCAACUGCGAGGGUGCAGGCGGUGACCUUCAAGAAAGGUGGGUGGCUGGCCGCCGGAGGCAGAUCGGACACCUGCAAGCAGGCAGGACCAGGCCACGCUUCCGAGAAGGGCGACCAUGCAGGCGGGGACCUCUGGAAAGCAUCUGUUCUAGAGCAGUGGUUCCCAAGCUGAAAAUCAGCCGGCAGGACUGUGAAAAGAGACAGCUGCCCCCACCCCCAGAAUCUCUUGUUCACCAGGUCCCCGGCGGAGCCCUAGAAUCUGCAUCCCCAGAUAGCGCUGCUGUAGAAGCAGUGCUCUGAGCACAUGGGAGCAGUCAGCAAUGAUGGGCUGGGGACUGUGGACACACAGCACUGUCCCAGGGUCCCUCCUUGACGGGGUGGGGUCUGCCUGUUCCUCUGCUUAUUCUGUCCCCGGAGGCUGGAAUCCCUCCCUCUGUCAGCUCCUUCCCCAGUUCCGGCACUCCUCUUACCAUUCAGCCCAGGCUGUGGUCAGCUCCUCCUCCAGGAAGCCCUCCUGGAUCCUCGGCCUCCUGAGGCACAGGAUGGGGCCUUCCUUGUGUUCAGGAAGGCUGACAUCGGACCACAACCGGGUAUGAGCAACACAGAGCAGCCUGGUCCACUUGGGGCUUUGCCUCCGCUCCUGGUUCGAAAGCGCCCCCUUCCUCCAUUGUUCUAUCCUCCAUUCAGCCAGCAGGAACCAUCUAGUUUGUAAACGGUUCCAGGAAUGCUGCCGGGGAGGUUGUUCAGAGCUACAGAGGACACAGGCGUGGGAAGAUGCAUGCGGAUCUCCAGUGCCAGGCAGCCCUGUGUUCAAAUCCCAGCCUGGACUUUUAGGACAGGGCUUUGGCCACGAACCUCCCUUCCUUCCUUCACCUGUGAAACGGCAGCAAGCAGUAAACCUAACCUGCUCCAGUUACAAAGAUCCUCAUCUGAAGCACAGAACAGCCAGCCAGUGUCUCAGUUCUCCCAAGGCCGUAUGUAAGCACCCAUCUCAUUCUGAAGCAUCCGAGAGAAGCUAAUUACCUGCAACAUACACCUUAGGGCACUGGGGUUGAAGUCUGCCAAAGACGGCUGAUAGGGAAUGCAUUGAGCAACCUCGGGGUGAGCAGUACCCUCCAGGCACCCCGAGGGCGCCUGGAAAAAGAGAUCAAACAGCAGGGAGCAGAGCUGGGGCAGAGCUGGGCGUCAGAUGCCAAGAGGAGAAGGAGGCGGGCACAGGAACACGAGACAGCGACUAGCUGGCCAGGCUCCCCCUUCGCCCGUGUCUUAUCUGAGAUGCGGAGAUGAAGGAAGUCACGUGAGCCUUUAUACUAAUGCAUUUCUCUCUGCAAACGGAAAAUGCAAUUAAACAUUCCACUUACUGAGGUUCACAUUGCCAUGUACUGGAUAAUGAGCCUCCAGAAAGCAAUGUACGUUUGGUGUUCCUUCCUGAUGUUCUGGAAAACAAAACGCUUUCUUUCCAGAACACCGGAAUUUAGACUUCGGUCAUUUUAUGAUCCCAUUUAUGUCAUGACAUAUCUCCAAAGCAAACCUUUUCACAGGUUUAGCUUGCAGACAGACAGAAAAAACAAAAACAAAAACAAAAAAAAACAAACAAAAAAAAGCAAACAAACACCCACUGACACUUUCCAUCCUAAAAGAAUCCUCCUACUGCCUCUCAGCUCAGGAAAGGGUAGGUCCACUGCUCUCCACAACAAGCCGAAAGGUCCAUCCACCAAGCUGUAGGACCAGGCAUGGAGCAUCCCGGACCAGAGGUGGGCCGGUUGGGGAUCUGAGGCCAGCUUGAAUGUCCUGCUGCUUCCCUGGGACAUGCCAUUUUAUUUCUCUGGGCCAGUUGCCUUGUCGGUGGACUAUAUAAGGUCCCUUCCAGCCAUCAAAGUAUAAAACUCUACCAACACCCUACUUCAGUCAGCAUCUGCAAAAGGAACAAAUGCUUGCCUCCAACUUUCAGGAAGGUGAUAUUUGAACAAGGCUUUAAAUUAUGUUACGAAACAGAAAUAAACAAGACUCAUGACAUCAGGGGCCAUCAAGGACAGUGAAGGUCUGGCCGUCUAAAGUGAAACUGACCUCUCAGCGCAGGGGGAGAGCUGGCUGGCGACAGUCUUUGCGGGACACUUCCCUCCAGCCCUCCUGUGGCUAAGGGGGCCUGGCCCUCGCCUGAAGCAAAAGCUGGAAGCCAGCCCAGGCACUGUCCCCUGGCUUUCCGAGGGACUCCAGUUUUCCCCAUACCCUGCUCUACGGGGAGAGCUCCUGCGCCCUCAACCGCAGUAAACCUCGGACCAAAUAAAAGGUGCAAAUUAACAACCUCAUGGCCAGAGCGGAAUCCCAGCCACAUCCGAGUUCAAAAGACCUUAGGGCAAAGCCGCCUGGUGAGAAGAAGGCUCCCUAGCACAGACAUGAGGCACUGGGCCUGGUACCUCACUUGCCCACGUCUCCCUUUUCUCAUCUGUAAAAUGGGUUAGGGACACAGCGACAUCACAGGCAGAGGAUUCAGGAGUCCUUACUGCCUGGAAGUUCCGCAGAGGAGUGCUUAGUGCCCACUAAGUGCUGGAUACCCGCUACUGCACCCUCGUCGUAAUAUCAGUAUCAACCGAGUCGGAGAGCCUCUCUACCGAUGGACGACGGGACUUCAGUGGAAACACAGCAGAAGCAGGAGCAGGCGGGAAGGUCCUGGGGAGAUGCAGCUUCCGCCUGCCUCCCAGGGACACUUUCAGACGUUCUGAAAUAAAGCCGUCUGCCAGGCAAUGGAGGGUUGACUGGAAAGGCGGGGAAGGAGCCUGGGUGGGGCGGCAGUGAAAAAUCACAACCAGAGGAACCUAAACAAGGUGUGUGCUCUGGAGGCGGGAAAAGUGCAGGGAGAAGUAGGUAAGAGGCAGGACAGCCCACACCACGGCGCACAGGCAGAAAGGCAGACAGUCAGCCUGGGUGGGAGGAAGAUGGAAAAUC